Molecule: long non-coding RNA, 6659 nt
Organism: Gallus gallus (chicken)
Lineage: Eukaryota; Metazoa; Chordata; Aves; Galliformes; Phasianidae
Source: Ensembl
UGACAAUUAAAUUGUUCUGUCACUUUGGGACCUUCAUUAAUCUCAACUUGUCAUCCUUGUUUAUGCAGGUUAUAAUGGCCUGUGUGUGUAAGUGAAAUGAGAUGCUAAAAGCCCUUGGCUGUUUAAGUCUUUGAUGAAAGUCAAGCAGGAAUACGUUGUUGAAGGAGAAAGUUGGGUUUUUUUCAUCCCCCAAAAUAGCACCAUGGAAAUUACUGCAUGGUGUAAUGGCUAGCUAUGGAAUAAGCCGAGUUUACAGAUCAGUGAAAAAAAGAAUGACUUUAUGGUACUGUUAUCACAUUCUUUUGUGUGUCUGUCUGAGUGUAGAUAGAAAUAAAGAUGUGGCAACAUAGAUUACUUUCUCUUGCAGGAAAGUGAUGCGAAGGCAUCAUACUCAAACAGAGGAAUCUAGAGGCUAGAGAUUUUCAGACAACACUGCAUUAUUGGUGUAACUCAGGCGGAGGACGCAACUAAACAUCUCCUGAAUCUCUGCAAUAAACAGUUUUUCAGUGUUCAUUAAUAAGAAGAAACCAGCUCUUUUGAGUGAAAAUUUCCUCAUCUUUAGUGAAUUUCUGGGGUGUUCUGAAGACCGACUUGGAGAAAAGGGGAAUAGAAUGCAGUUGACAAGUCAUUUAUUUCUCUAUUACAGCCAUCUGGAAGAUUAACUAAUAGCAGCCUCGGCGUUGGAUGGCUGGCCAAAUUAGGUAUGACUUAGCAGAGUAGUGCUUCAUCGUCCGCUCCUUCCCAGAGCAGACCUUCUCCAGCAGCUGCUUCGUUAGGCAGUGAGCAGGCCCACAGCGGGACAGAAACGAAGCGUGCUGUGCUGUCAGCUCAUCUGAAAACAGGUUGGGAAGCCUACUGAGGUCUCCAGCAUUGGUGGUUUUCCCGCCAAGGAUUAAAUAUGCCUGCAUAAAGCCAGCGCAUCCCACAAAUCAAAAGCAGCAUGCGUGGAAAAGGAGCAAGCAGUGGCAAGCACAACCUGGAGUGCCGUGAUGGAUUAGGGAGAGGGCCCUGUGAAUGCUCCCUUUUCUGAAGGGGAGGUAAUCCGUCAAUCCCAACAGGGCAGUCCUGUCAAAGUAGGCCUCAUUGAGGACCACAGCAUCCUCCUCGGUUUGUUCUCCGUCCUGUGGAGGGCACUGCACUCUGUGCCAGACUGAGCUCGUGGUCAGAAGCUGAUUGGUGUGGGGAACCUACCAACUUUUGUCCUCUCUGCAAAAUGGCUGUACCAUCUUCUAACUCUGGAGAGCUGGGGAGAAGACAGCUCAAGAUGUUUUGAAAAGCCAAAACCUCUCAAUGUUAAAAUGUAAGAGAGAUUGAUUGUGACUCAAACGUGAUAAGAUUUCAACGAGGCAAGCUUGGUCCAGUAUCAUUUUAAAAGCCAUUCAGAAAGGGCACUUGCUGGAGCAGGAGAGCUUCCCUGCUGGCUGCAAUGGAGGAAAUCCUGGGAAUAAUCUAUGGCUUAAAGAGAGUUUGUCUUUAACCAUGAAGGGAUCAUCCUGCUCUCCCUACAAAGUCCUUUCAUUUCCAUCUGGAAUGAGUAUACGAUAACCUAGUCAGACCAGCCUCUCAGUCACCAAUCAAAACACUGACUCUUGACAUUUGCCUAAUUAUCUUUUCUCAUCAUCAGUCAUCUCUUGAAGUCUUUGCUUCAUUCAGAUGCCAGGUAUUUCCGAAAUUAAUCAUGUCAUUGAAAGCGGCAUCUUUUCAUGUAAAUGGACUUUAUUAUCUGGAUCGAAAAGCUCCCCCCCACCUCCUCCUUUGAGCUGCAAAAGCCCAUUUGUAGGGAAAGUGUCUGAAAUCUGACAUGCUGCCUUCUCAAGAGAGAUUCGUAGUGGUGACCUCCCAGCAAGAGCUAAGCAUCCGUCACCGGGAGUGUGUGUGUGUGCUGCUUGCACCCUUGGGCUGGAUGCAUGCUAAUUUGCCCCCAUUGUUUCGGGGUGAGUGGCUUUCCAGCACUUCCAAACAAAGCCUUUUUGCAUGAGCCUCUGUGUGUACAAUUAUUUUAUGUUCACAUCAUUCCAUCAUCUUAUCUCUAUUCCUGAUAUAAGAGGGGAUGGAAAUGUCUUUGUUUUCUUGUUAUACUGGGGAUUACAAACUGGAUUUAGCAUGUUAGCAAGGACACUCCUCUUUCAUUAAUUCUCAUUUGACAUAUGUUUUGCAACAUAGGAUUGAUCAGCUCAUUGCAAUGCUCAUCUUCUCUUUAACUUUCAAAGGGACACUACCACCAAACCUUGUUGAUUCAACAAGAAACCAGUCUGCUGUAAUUGACAGCACAUGCAAAGUGUUGCAGGAAAGAAGUAAAUAUGAGUGGUUUAGUCAGGAAUGUAAUCUAAACUGUGGUAGAAGAAUGCAUUCAUUUUGCUCAUUAGGCUCACUCCUUAAUGAAUUGUACAGUGAGCAGGGCAACGAAUCUGAGAUCAGCACUGAUAAUGCAACUCUGCAUUUUGAGGAGUUCACUUUUUAAGUUUGUGGUCGCACAUUUACAGACUCCUUGCAAAAGCACCCUGUUAUUUUACACAUGCUGAGCCUCCCUCUGGGACCAUUUGCAGACAGCAAUAUUAAUUGCUGGCAAGAUCUACACUUAAAUUAAAAGUGAAAGUUGGGCAUCAUCUGACUGAAAGGGGGAAGUGAAAUGAAUCACUGUCCUUCUGUGCUUGCACUGUGUAGGACUAACAAAUUAAGAUCAUUCUUUUUAGCACUGUCAAACCAGGCUUGAUCUGAUAAGAAGCAAUAACUCUCCUAGAAAGUUUUCAGUAUCAUUGGUAUUAUGUAAAGUCAUGUUCUCUAUUCCCUGGUAACAAUUUGAGAGUAUGAACAGACCAAAAGUGGCUUUUUGAAUAACAGGCACACUGUUAUAUAACGGUGUACAUAGCCGUGUAUGUUUAGAGAAAGAGCAUAGAUUAUAAAUUGUUGGAUGCUGAAGAUCAAGCGACACCAUUAUGCAAUGUAUCUUUCUGCCUAGUGAAGGACACAGGGCUCUGUGUAUAUAUACUCUAUAUAUGUAAUGCCAUUAGGCAGACCUUCCAAAACCAAUGUUAAGAUAUAUCAUGAGGCAGAAGUCACCACAGUAUUCAGCAAUUGAAUUCCUAUUCAGCGAUUGUUCCUAUUGCCAAGUGCUCUCAUGGUUAAAAAUUUCCUGUUAAUUUCUAGCUUGAAUUCAUCUAGCUUCAACCUCCAGAUGUUAGAUCUUGUUUUAUGUCUUUGUUAAACUGAAAAGCCCUCUGUUUCCUGUGAAGCUUCUUGUAUAUUGUGGGCAAGUCACUCCUUAACCUUUCUCUAUUAAGCUAAACAGUCUGAGCUGCUUGAGCCUCUCACAAUUGUUUUCUAAUCCUCCCAGUGUUUUCUAGUCCUUUAGCCAUCCUCAUGGCUCUUCUAAUUUAUCAACAACCUCUUGAAACAUAGGCACCAGAACUGGAUCCACUAUUCCAUUAGUAGUCAUACCAGUGCCACAGACAAAGAUGAUAUUACCUCAGGCCUCUAGCCUAUAUCCCCCUGUUUACAUAUCCUAAGGACUGAAGUUACCCUUCCAGCUACAGAGCUAAUGUGCAGCUGAGCAUCCACGCCUCUGCCAUGUUCUUUUUGGAGCCAUUUCUUUCCCAGAGAGAGGGUCCUUCCCUUCUUUAAAUAUUCCCUCCACUCUGUUCACCUAACGUUAUCAUUUAACACUUUCUCAUGCUUAUUGUUUCCUUCAUGCAUCAUUGACGUGCCUUUGAUAUUUACUGCAUUCCCAGUCCGUGUCAGCAGUGACUUCGUGUUUUCUAACAAGCGUUGAAAAGAUUAAACAGCAGCCAUCCACCCAAGAAAAAGUGCUCUGUUACCAAUCCUCGAUAAGGAAUCCUCAUACACAGUGAAAAAUCACCAGCUACCCUCCUCCUCCUUCCUUGCUAAGAAAAUCAUGCCCUAUAAACCACAGAGAAGAUGCUAUACCCUUAACUCUGCCCGACAGUUCACAUUUGUCCUGCUCACCUCACUAGGGGAUUUCUCAUCCUCUUGCUUCCUUUCCACACUGUCCUGAGAAAGCACAUAUACCUCACUUCAGGAAGGAGACAGCAGGAAGCUAUCACUUCAACCCAGGAAGAGCUGAAACUAUUUUCUGCCUGAUAAAAUGAUACACACUAGUGCUGAGGUGUAUUUCACCAGCUGAAGGCUAUUUCUGGAGGAGCAACUGUUAUUUCUUCCCACUUCAAUUUGUAUAUCAUUGAUGCAGUAUUCUGAGGUUGACUGGAUGUUAUCUUAAUUAUCUAUCAUUUAUUACUGUCAUUAUUGUUGUGGCGCUACUUUGGUGCUAAAGUGAGGAACGCAAUCAGGUUCUACAAGUAAGGAUGUAGGAUUGUCCCAAGGAAUUGUGGGAAGGAAUUUGUUUUGUUUUGUUUUUUGUUGUUGUUGUUUUGUUUUGUUUUUUUGUUUUUACUAUUUUUUAAAAUGGUUCAAAAAAUAAUAAUCACCUCACUGGUGUUAUUUUAUUUAUCACCAUGAAUACAUUUAAAUGGAUUUCCCUGCAGUAACCAUAACAUUUAUCUUUCUCGAUAGUUUCCAGUAGUUCUGGGAACUGUUUUUCACAGAAGUGUCUAAUUAUUAUCACUAGCAAUUACAUUUAUUUAUUAUGUUUUGCUGUUGCUGAAGGAGCUUCUCAUGCCAUUGACAUGCUCUCUUGUACGCUAUCACCAAAAGACAAAUUGGGUUAUAAUUAAAUUGCAGAAUAAAAUUGUCAAAUGUUGACAUUGUUUCUCUUUCGUGGGGCAAUUUGUAACCAUUUACUCUUCUUUCCAGUUUGAAGUUAUUCUGUUUCUUUUCCAUUUGUAGUUUUCAGAAAUGUUUUUGUUGUUGUUGUUGUUUUUUGCUGCUCUUUCUUCUCAGCCCUUUCUCUUUCUUUUCCUUCUGCAAAAUCUUUUCUUCCCCCCCUCCCCCCCCUUUCAUAUUCUGAUAACUUUCCUUUGAGAAAGCUCCCAGAGCACCAGCCAUGGGCUUGGUCUUCGGCCUCAUUAGCCAGAAUUUAUCUUUGCCAUGUGCCAAUAUGGAAAAACUGGCGCAGUGGAAAAAGAGAAAGGAAAAUGAAGAAGUGGAAAAAAACUUUCCACCCCAAAGAAAAUGUUAAACUUCAUCUCUUUCAUUACUUUCAGUAGCAAGAUGCAAAGAGGUUUUUAAAAACAGCAGAAAGUGGGAAUUCCAGAAUUUUCACUUCUGGUGGGAUAAAUGAGAAGUUUUGAACAACCAGAAGUCUACAGAAAGGUGGGGCCCUGAGACAGGCACAAAAAAAAAAAAAAAAAAAAAAAAAAAAAAAAAAAAAAAAGCACCAUUUUCUUUGAAGGAAAAAGAAGAAGCUUUAAAUGGCAAUUCAUUUUUUUUCCUGAUGCUUGCUUUCUGCCCUUCUUUCCUAGAGCGUUAGGACACACAAGGGGUUAAAGGUCCAGGAAGAGAGCUAGGGAAGAAAAAUCCCUCUGUUAAUUGAUCUGCCUGUCUGGUGACGAGGGCCAGCUGAAGCUUGUCAAAAACUGUAUGAGCUGAAUCAAGCUUGGGGCCCUAAGUAAAAUACAGACACCUGGAGUGAGGAGGGGCUGCUCUCCCUAUGUGCAACUAUUUAGUUGUUCUUUUAAUGUAGGCAGAGAAGGGAAAGGGUCAAGCAGUGCUGAGUCUGGGCUUGAGGGAUGUCCAAUAGCUUUUUCCACUGAAAAGAAACAAGGCUAAAGCUUGUUAAUGGUAUCUAAUGCUAUUAUUGUGUUAGUCUUUGUGUACUUCUGGGCUUGCUGGUAUAUGUUGGAGGCAUGUUUUGGUGUUGUUAUUUGAUGGUCUUAUCCAUAGGUAUGUUGCUGGGCAAGAAGUAGUGGAAAUGUUUAGUGACAUGUGCACAACUCAAUUUCAGUUUGUUUGGGGCAAUGUUCUCAGAGGGAAUCCUUAACUUUCUGCCCUCCCCUUGCACAAGGAUGAAGUGAUCCAGAGUAUGCCCUGAAAAGCUUUUUUUUUAUUAUUUUUUUUAUUUUUUUUUUUGGUCUCUUUACUCUUUGGCUCUGCCUCCAGACCCCUUCACCGAUGCAAUCUGGCUAGGAUUCUGCAUGCCACUUUGUUUGACCUUGAUGACAUAAGUUGACGCAUGUACUUUUGAACCUUCCCAAGAAUGAAUAAUAUCCCUGCAAUAAAAUGAAAUCCUAGCAUUUUUAACCCGCCAAGCCCCUGUGAUUGUUGGGGCCGGGCAUGUCAAAUGGUGGCUCAGCCGAUGGACGCCUGAAAUGGAGGUGGAUAGAUUUCAGUGCAAAACAAACAAGCCAUUGAGAUCUAGCACUGGUCCGCUUUUCUCAUGAUACCUGUGAUGAGUACGUCUGAAACACUGAAAGCUUUUUUCAUGCGUAGCAGGAGGAGGGAGUGAGGACUGAACAAGAUGCAAAAGAAAAGAGAUUUGCAACUGGGGCAGGCAGGGUUGCUCGCUGGCUCUGAGGCUGGCAGCUUUCAGGGUUACUGUGUGAACCUUAUGGCUCAGGUAAAAUUUAAAAUAGUUCUUCCCCUCCUUUUUGUCCUGAGCUCCCCACAUGCUACGCUUUAGUUAAAGAUGGCCUUCAAGUUUACAUCAAGUUCAAACAUCCACCAAAUUCAGAGAGCUUGGACCCAGAACCUGAGUUGAGUAUUUCUCUGUCUUUCAAAGACUCCCAUAUAAAUGGGGACAAAAACAG